Long non-coding RNA from Homo sapiens (human), 25027 nucleotides. RefSeq lists it as uncharacterized. The record is from RefSeq and is a predicted model, not a curated record. NCBI's taxonomy places the organism in Eukaryota, Metazoa, Chordata, Mammalia, Primates, Hominidae. The transcript is spliced from 2 exons.
AGGCGUGAGCCACCGUGCCCGGCCGUAAUGUGUGGUCUUUUGCAUGUGGCUUCUUUCACUCGUCCUAAUGUUUUGAGGUUCAUCUACAUUGUAGCAUUUAUCCAUAAUUUGUUUCCGUUAAUUGCUGAAUAGUAUUCCAUUGUAUGGAUAUACCACGUUUUGUUUAUCUGUUCAUCAGCUUAUGGACAUUUGGAUUAUUUCUACUUUUUUGGCUAUUAUUAAUAAUGCUACUGUGAACACUCACAUACAGCUGAGUGGACAUGUGUUUUCAUUUCUCCUGGUAGAUACCUAGGAAUGAAACUGCUAUGUCAUGCAAUAAGUUUCUGUUUAACUUUCUUAAGAUACUGCCACACUGUUUUCCAAAUGGCAGCUUCAUUUUACAUUUCCCCAGUAAUUUAGGUGCUUCUGAUCUCCACAUCCUCACCAACAUUUGCUGUUGUCUGACCUCCUGAACGUGAAGUGGUAUCUCAUUAUGGUUGUAGUUUGUAUUUCUCUAAGGAUGUUUUGAAAUGGGGAACUGUGCGUCUUCCAACUUUGUUCUUUUUCAAGAUUGUUUUGGCUUUGUUUCCUUUGCAUUUCCGUAUACAUUUUCAUAUCACCUUGUCGAUUUCUACCCGCACCCCAUCCCUCCCCGAAAGUCUGCUGAAUAAGGGUGUUGAGCAUCUUUUCAUUUGUAAUUAGCCAUAUUCUUGGAUGAAAUACUAUUAAAAUCUUCUUCCCACUUUUUAAGUGGGUUGUUUAUCUUCUAAUAGACUUGUAAGAAUUCUGUAUAUAUUCUGUAUAUAAGUCCAUUAUCCUGGGUAUAUGAUUUGCAAAUAUUUUCUCCCAGUCAGUGGCUUGACUUUUCAUAUCCGUAAUGCUGACUUUUGAAGCACAAAAGGUUUUAAUUUUGUUGAAGUCCAGUUUAUCAGUUUUUUUUUUAUGGAUCAUACUUUUGUUGUUAUAUCUAAGAACUCUUUGCCUAACCUAAGGUCACAGAGACUUUCUUCUAAGAAGUUUUAUAAUUUUAACUCUUACAUUCAUCUAUGUGGCUGAGGUACUUUUUUGUGUAUGGUAUGAAAUAAGGGUCUAGUUCUGUGUUCCUGCAUGUGGAUAUCCAGUUACCCCAUCACUGUUUAUCGAAAAGACUAUUCUUUCCCCUUGAAAUGCAUUGCCACUUUUGUCAAAAAUCAUAGACAAUAAAUACACAGGCUUAUUUCUGGACUUUCAUUUCUAUUCCUUUGAUCUAUAUGUCUAUCCUUAUGUCAGUACCAGGCUGUCUUGAUUACUAUAGCUUUGUAGGAUGUUUUGAAAUAGGGAACUGUGCGUCUCCCAAUUUUGUUCUUUUUCAAGAUUGUUUUGGCUUUGUGUCCUUUGCAUUUCCAUAUACAUUUUAGGAUCAUCUUGUCAAUUUCUACCCCCCCCCCAAAAAAAAAAAAGUCUGCUGAGAUUUUCAUAGGGAUUACAUUUAACCCACAGGUCAAUUUGGGCAGAAUUGCCUUUUUAACAAUAUUGAGUCUUCUCACCCUUGAAGACAGAAUAUCUCUUCGUUUAUUUAGAUCUUUAAUUUCUCUCAACAAUGUAUUAUAGUUUUUGGUGUGCAAGUGUUGCACUUCUUUUGUGUUAUUGUGAAUAAAAUUUUUAAAAUUUCUUUUUCCAAUUGUUUAUUGCUAGUAUAUAAAAACAUUGAUUUUCAUAUUGGUCUUCUAUCGUAUGACAGCCCAAUUUUUUUAUUAGUUUUAAUAGCUGUUUUGUAAAUUCCUUUAUCAGAUUUUUCCGUGUACAGGAUCAUGGCAUCUUGGAAUAGAGACAGUUUUGCUUCUUUCUUGUCCAUAUGGGAUGACUUUUCUUUUUCUUGCCUGAUACAGAAUUUUAGGAAUUAAAACUCAUCCAAAGUCAUGCCAAAGAUCAGUGAUUAUACUUAUGAUAUCAAUGAGGAGACAAAAGAGGCAACUUUUGGAAUUUUAAAUGAGCCUUACAGAGGCAAAGGGAAGAAUGGGUGACUGCAUUAGCAAGGAAGUAAAAAUACCACUCUACAGCCAGACAUGGUGGCUCUCACCUGUAAUCCCAAAGCUUUGGGGCACCAAAGCAGGAGAAUCACUUGAAACCAGGAGUUCAAGGUUACAGUGAGCUAUGAUCAUGCCAUUGCAUUUCAGCCUGGGCAACAGAGUAAGAUCCUAUCUCUUAAAAAAUUUUUUAAAAAGCCACUUCGCAUUGACUCAGGUUUCACAGUGCUCCUCUUAGUGGGUGGUUAUUUCAGCAACCUGACCAGAACAGACAAGAUAAGCCCUGAAACAACACGAAGGAGCCCUGAGUAGGAAAAGGUAGACACCACACACUCUCCAGGCUCAUUUAUGUAACCCACUGGAAGAUCUCUGGUCUAUACAGAACCUCAUCUUCAUGUCUACCUAUUGUUUUAAAAAGCAUUGGCACUUGGUUUUCUAGCUUGUUGAUGGUUUUGUUUUGUUUUUGCAGCUAUACUUUAGGAAAGGUGUUAGAGAAGAGACGAAGUAGGACUUGAACAUAAAGGAUGCCAAAAAGUGAAAGGACAGUAGCUGAUAGUGAGGGGGCAUAUUGGAAAUGCAUUUAAAUAUCCCAUGUAUAUUUCCUGGACACCUACAGGGACAAAUCUUAUGCUCAAGAAUUUAAAAGCACCACUGGUAGGUCAGUGGAAGGCAACUCCCCAGACUUGAUAAGGUCUGAGGACAUUGGCUGAGCAAGCCAAGACUCCAGUGACGCCAUCCAUUUCUUUUGUGGCUGAUGAAUCAGAUUCAAGUACAAUGCUUUAUAAUUAUCCCUAUGAAAUUCUAGCAUGUUAGUGUCGACCCAUUAUUCUAGUCCUUCGGCACCUCUUUGGAUUCUGAUUCUGGUUUUAUGAGUUGAAGAUUAAUAACUAAGCUUUGAAGGAUGGGGGGAUUGCCAAAAAAAAUAAGCUGAACAGUGCUUUUUUUGUGAUAAUCCUGUGUCCUCAAAGAAGUUAAGCCCCAUUUGCUGCAGAAAGAACUCAUUAGCUCCUGUAGCUUCUAAGGAGGAUCCUCAUCAAAGAAUCUUUUUUAAAAUAAGUAUGUAAUAAUAAAAUAAAACCCACCAUCUAGCCAGGCUUCUUGCUAUUGGAGUGGGAAUUUACAGAUAAACUAGGGAGGAGGCUACACUGAUGCAUGUGGUAAUGGGUUAGAGUUAAAAAUAUCAGUAUGAGCUCAUGUUUAGCUUAACAUAGAUACAAAUAGUCACAUAUAGAAAUCUUUACAGAUCUGUGCAUAUAAAAGGGUUAGUACCCAUAUGUAUUUCUGUGCCCUGACAACUGAGAUGGCCUGAAAGAAACGGACACCCCAGUGUCAACAAGCACACCUUCAUCUAGAUCUUGGUUCCUAUUACCAUUCUCCAAUAAAAAGAACUAGGACUCCUGAGUGAAAUGGUUGCUUCUGGAACUCAGGCAGGAAUAUACAAGAUGAACCUGGAGUAUGUUAUGGUGCCAGAAAGUAAGGAAGUCCUAAAACAAAAAACAAAACUCACACUGAUAGGGGCACAUCAAAGAAACACAGAGGCCAACUGAAAGAGCUAAUGGCCACUCCUGGAUAAUUAGAGCAAAACAAUAAGGAAGCAUCGGAUUAUAACCCAAAGUAUAAAAUAAAUAUCCAUGACUCCAUACUGAUAGAAAUAAAUAAAUGGAGGAGAAGGAACAAACCUCCCACACAGAAGAAUUCCAAGUAAUUUACACAGAUACCUCACCCUCAAGCAGGGGAAGCAUAAUGCCCCACUCCCUCAAUGUGAGUUCCAGGUAGUGGCUCCUUCCCAAAGAGUAGUAGGGGAGGGGGAGGGGAGUCCAUUGACAGUGGAGAGACCUUCAACCUGGUGACCAAGGACAAUAUCAGUAGUCACAAAUCACAUUAAUAGAACAGACCAUUGAUACAAUGUGAAAACAAUGGCAUUUCACCUCUGUAGUCUUCCUCCCAAAAACCUCUCAACCCAGUCUUAAUCAUGAGAAAAGCAUCAGACAAGUUUCAGUAGGGGGGCAUUCCUAUAGAAUAGCUCAAUAUUCCUAAAAAAUGUCAAGGUCACCAAAAACAAGGAAAUUUGAAGAAACUGCCAAAAGAACCCUAGGAAACAUGACAACUAAAUGUAAUGGGCCACCCUAGAUGGGAUCCUGGGACAGAGCAAAGAUACUAAGUACAAAUUAAGGAAAUCUAAAUAAACUAUGGACUGAAGUUAGUAGUGCUAUGUUAGUAUUGGUUCAUUACUUCUAACACACAUGACAUACUAAUGUAAGAUUUAGUAAUAGGGGACACUGGAUAUGAAGUAUAUGGGAAUGCUCUUUGCUAUCUUCUCAAUUUCUCUGGAAGUCUAAAAUUGUUCUUAAAAAGAAAGCCUAUUUAAAGGGAAAACCACCAUCACUACCAAUUUUGAUAAACUUGAAGGGUUAGCAUCAAUUAUCUGGAAAAUUUAUUUGUGAGAAAACCUUAUUCCUUUAUGAUCAUUGAUAAGUGAAGCAUUGCUGAAUUAUCUCUGCCUCUCUGAGCAAGUUAAUACUAUAUUUUUAAGAGAAGAGGAGAAGAGAGGGGAGGGAGUAGGGAAAAGAGUAUGUGUAUCUUUGUGUGUGUAUGUGCGUGUGCAUGUGCGUGUGUGUUUAAACAAGAGAAAAAGUGAAUUCUAAAUUGUUAAAACCUUGGAGUGGAACUUAAUCUAAUUUAUACGCAGUUCCACUAGAGAUGUGCAAGGAUUUUUUUGUUGUUGUUAAAGAGAAAAACUAGUUUCAAGCAUUAUUAAGCUUUUUUCCCUCCCAGAAGCUAAGAAAACCAUCUGUGAGAACCUGUUUGCAUGUUUGUUUUCUACAAUAAAAUGCAAAAUACUUCUUCCUGUUAGCGGAUUAUACCAUAUGUCUCUCCCUGUAACAAAAUCAGCAUGUUUAUUAAUGAACCCAAUCAGAGGCAAAGAUUUAGAAAGAUUUAAGGAACUGAAUUUUCCAUUCAAUAUUUCAGCAAAAGAAACUUCUGGUUAGACAUCGUUGUUGUGCUUGGAAAAUAGAAGGUUUGUUUUUGCUUUGAACUCAAUUUACUUGGCAGGGGACAGAGAGCAGGAAGAGAGGCCUUUGAAAAUUUUCGUAAAAAAGGUCUGCAUUUAGAAAUGGCCCUUCCUGCCUAAUGAUUCCCCUACGGAUUUAGACCUACAGUUUAUAUGUGACUAAUAUUUAAUUUGAUCAGUUACAUUUUUCCAGACAGACUAAUUAAAGUGCUUGAUGGCCCAGAUCCCCCAAAUCUGAAGCAGUAACAGGCCUGUGGGCUUCCUGGAGUAACAGGAAGUGAAUGAAGUAGUUUCAGCCAUAUUGUCAAAGCAACCCCCAUGGUACUCAUAAUGGAAACAUGUGAAUUUUCCAGCACAAACACUUUCCUCACAGCCCUGUUGACCAUCUGAAUAAUCAAAUAGAUUGGUAGCACUAGGUAUAGCAUAGUGUAUUAGAAAGAAAUAUGUCCAGCCAGACCCAGCACUGCAGUUAAAGUACUGGUGCUGUCACGAGCCAGCAGAAGGCCUGGAGCAAAUGACGUACUCUCUCUAGACCCCAGCUUACUCCUCUGACAAAUGAGGAUAUCAGCUCUGCUGUUCUCUUGUUUCUGACUUGUAGAAGAAUGGACUUGUCAGCAGAGACCGUAAGCAGUGGAAAUCCCAAAAGCCAGACAGACCCUGUGCGUAUUUUAGGGGAUACAUUCUGUUCUGGUCAUUCAGCCUUCACCCAAGCCAUCUUUUUUUCUAUUUGGUGGCAUAGACACAGCCCAGCCAACCUAAUUCUCAUUUUAUUGCAUUCAUUGUUCAUGUGCCACAGUUUUUUAGAAAUCUUACAAGAAAAUGAAGCACCUAUUACCAGGACACCACUGCAAGGGGGAAAAUGACACUUGGGCACCUGGAAGGACAAAGACAGGCAGUGGAGGCAUCAUGGGGUUGGAUUCGAGUAACCCUCUGCCUUCUUCCUGGGGUCUGUUGGCAGUGUUUUUGUGCUGUGGUCAUGAUACACACAGGUCUCACAAGGCAGGCAGCCAAGUGUUGACUCUGUCUUUGUAGGCAAUACAGAAAACUGUCUACUUGUUCCAGUGAGCUAAAUCAAGUGAGAACAGGAAAGAGGUUUGUGCAACUUUGGCAACUAUAGCAGGAACCACUUUAAAUGGGACAGGGCAAGUAAUGCUAAAUAUUUGCAAGGUGAUUUUUUUUUUUUUAAGACUUUAAAGGUUGUAUUGGGAGACCUUGAGAAAGAGGCCUUUCUUUCUUUUUUUUUUUUUUUUUUUUUUUUGAGACGGAGUCUUGCUCUGUCGCCCAGGCUGGAGUGCAGUGGUGCGAUUUCGGCUCACUGCAACCUCCGCCUCCCGGGUUGAAGCAAUUCUCCUGCCUCAACCCUCCCAAGUAGCUGGGAUUACAGGCACGCGCCACCACACCCAACUCAUUUUUUUUUGUAUUUUUAGUAGAGACGGUGUUUCACCACAUUGGUCAGGCUGGUCUCAAACUCCUGACCUCAUGAUCCACCCACCUCGGCCUCCCAAAGUGCUGAGAUUACAGGCAUGAGCCACUGCACCUGGCCUUUUUUUUUUUUUUUUGAGACGGAGUUUCGCUCUUGUCGCCCAGGCUGGAGUGCAAUGGCGCGAUCUCCACUCAAUGCAACCUCCGCCUCCUGGGUUCAAGUGAUUCUCCUGCCUCAGCCUCCCAAGUAGCUGGGAUUACAGGCGUGUACCACCACGCCUGGCUAAUUUUUGUAUUUUUAGUACAGAUGGGGUUUCACCAUGUUGGCCAGGCUGGUCUCGAACUCCUGACCUCAGGUGAUCUGCCCACCUCAGCCUCCCAAAGUGCUGGGAUUACAAGCGUGAGCCACUGUGCCCGGCCUCUUUUUUUUCUUUUCUUUUCUUUCUUUUUUUUUUUUUUUUUUUUGAAACGAGGUCAUGCAUGCAGGCUGGUCACAAACCAAAAAGGCCUUUUGACAAUUCAACUACCUCAACUCUGGGAUGGGCAUUUAUUAAUAACCCCCAACCCACCCAAGUCCUCCAAAUACCCUGCCAUCCAGGGGAAAACACAUAAACAUCAAUAAACUGCAUGUCCCCAAGGGAUGCUCUUUGCCCCAGGAUAGUCUGGCCUCUCGGGAGAUUUCUCUUACCUCCAGGGCUUUGUUUCACCAGAGAAGCCAGCCUGGAGGUAGAAGGGGAAGAUACUUAGCAGCAAAAUCUGCUGCCCUGUGCAGCCAGGCCAGGGGGGCAGUCAGGGGCUAUACAGGCUGAAAAGCUGUCCAGGACCCAGAGCUAUGUGACUCAUAAAGGCAGGCUGCCCACCCACUGAAGGUCUCCAAGUGGCAGUCCAGAUGGACAGUGAUCAGCUGUCACAUUGGACGGUUGGCCUCCUGUGAUGACAACACUGUGCCAAGGAGGCCUGGGUUGAAGCUUUGAGCACAUGUUAAUUGGCUUAGCUCUAUUCCACCACUGUAGAAUUUUUUAGUUCAAUUCAGCAAAUAUUCCCUGGGUUCCUGUUCUUUGCCAGGUAAUAGAGCUGGACACUGUGAAUGCAGAGAUGGAUAAAAUAUGUCCUUUAGCUGAUGGAGAGAAAAACAUGAGCAAAUAAAUGUCAUUUACUAUGAAAGAUACUAGAGUAUCUGGAAAGAACAGUGGAGACAGAGAAGGGAUGGAUGGCUGAAAGUGUGUGGUUAAAACAGUGCCCACCCAUCUUGCCCAGACACAAACCACUCAAAACCAAGACCCUGUUGGAGGAAGCAUUCCUGUGAGUUUAUUAGAGCAGGAUUUCCUGAAUUCUUCCUAGGAAUGUUAAAAGAUAAAAUUUGAAAAAAGGAUUCCAAGAGCAAAUAAGUUUGGGAAAUAGUGAGUUAAAGUUAGACAGGUUGCUUUCAUUGGUAGCUCAUGCUUAAGUGCAGAACUUCUCAAAGCCUUGAGUAUGCUGAGCACAUUGUGUGAUUACCCCAGGGGAGGAGAUGGUAUUGAGAAUUUUGACUUGGGAGCCUUUUUCCAGAGUUACCUCCUUGGACCUGGGACCCUCAUAUUCUUGGACCCUGGCACAGUGUCCUGUCUGGAGCUGAGAGUUUGCAGAGUGGCCUUCUAGUCCCAGCACUCCCACUGUGACUGAAACUGUUUGGCUUUGGGAAGUCUAACCUUCUCUGAUGUUGUUUCCUCAUUGUGUUAGGCAAUUUUUGCAUCUCUAUAAAGAAAUACUUGAGGCUGGGUAAUUUAUAAAGAAAAGAGGUUUCAUUGGCUCCUGGUUCUGCAAGCCAUAAAAGCAUGGCACUGGUAUCUGCUUGGCUUCUGGGGAGGCCUCAGGAAGCUUUUUUUUUUUUUUGAGACAGAGUCUCGUCGCUCUGUCGCCCAGCUGGAGUGCAGUAGUGCGAUCUCGGCUCACUGCAACCUCUGCCUCCCGGGUUCAUGCCAUUCUCCUGCCUCAGCCUCCUGAGUAGCUGGGACUACAGGUGCCCACCACCAUGCCCGGCUAAUUUUUUUGUAUUUUUUAAUAGAGACAGGGUUUCACCUUGUUAGCCAGGAUGGUCUUGAUCUCCUGACCUUGUAAUCCGCCUGCCUUGGCCUCCCAAAGUGCUGGGAUUACAGGCAUGAGCCACCACGCCUGGCCAAGAAGCUUCUAAUCAUGGCAGAAGGCAAAGCGGGGGUAGGCACAUCAGAUGGUGAUAGCAGGAGCAAGGGAGAGAGAGAGGGGCGAUGCCACACACCUUCAAACAACCAGAGCUCAUGUGACCUCACUCACUGUUAUGAGGACAGCACCAAACCAUGAGAGGUCUGCCCUCAUGACACAGAUACCUCCCAUCAGGUCCCACCUCCAGCAUUGGCAAUUACAUUUUUAACCUGAGAUUUAGGCAGGGACAAAUACCCAAACUAUAUCACUCAUCUAGAAAAGAAGGGAAGAGUGACAUCUGCCUAUCUUGCAGUAUUGUUGUGAAAUAAUAGAUGUGAAAGCACUUCAUACUCAUAAGGACUGGGAUUGUCAUUGCUGGGUUGUGACAAUCGCAGCUGUGAUCAAGUCUUCGAGGCUUUAGUUACUUGACUGCCUUGAGGUUGUGGCCUCUUGUUAUGCCUGGAAUUCUCCCUUCCUUCACUUCUUUACCCACCCCUUGAGAUACUUCUUAUAACCAUCCCCUAAGUUCAAUGUUGGUAGCCCUGAGACUUCUGUCCUUGGAUCCCUUCUCUUGAGACCAUUUAUCUCAGAGCUCCAUGUGUCAACAUUACCUGUCUUCUGAUAACCACCCAGUUUUCUGUCUCUAGCCUUUGCUUCUCCCUUAAGUUCUGGAUCCAAAUGUCCAACUUCUCCCCAGAUACCUUGAUGUAAUUAUCUCAAGCUGCAUACUAGUGCCUCAAACUGCUUGCCCUUCCCCACACACUGUGUUCCUUCAUAACUGGGUGUCAUCUUAAAAGUACUUCUGGUAAACUCCUGCUCAUCCUUCAGAACCCAACUUUAGUCUAGUCUCCUCUUGGCUGACUUCCUCCUGUGCGCUCCCAGAGAACUUUGUACCUACACCUAACAUGCCACUUCUCACACUGCCACUGUGGCCAUUGGUGUAGUUUUCAUUAAGUCAAGGACUGUGCUUUAUUUGCCUUUAAAUUCUCAUCCUUGAGCAGAGUGCAGGGCGGGCAGUAAGUCUAAUUGGAUGCAUAUACCUCAUUCUAGUCAUGCCCAUGCAGCAGAGGGGAGUUUCAUCUUUAAUGCCACAUCUGGCUUUACACUAGAGGCCUGAACCUGCCGGAUGCACAAUUUUGUUCUUUUCCCUGCUGGCUAGGAUUUGCAGGCACCCAGAAGCUGAAGACCCUCGGGGUCUCCAGAGGAGGUCACAUGUGCCUCUGGCCACAGCCACCCCUGGACUUUCAGCUGGCCAGUGCUCCCAGCUCCCAGCCCUUGGCUGGCAGAGGUGAGCAGGAGUCCCACCCACUCCUCCCCAGCUUAGCCGAGUCAUGUUGAUAUUCUGGCGGCAUAGUCAGGCUUGUUAUUGAGCACAUGCUUUGCAGAUUAGCCUGUUUGUAUAGCCAAUCGAACAUGUGCUCCAUUAAAAAUUAAAGCAUCCUGUUUUAAGGAUGGAGCAGGAGACAUCAGCUGCCACUGUGUAGCAGACAUGCAAAGCCCCAGAGCCCAUUACCAUAGGUUACAGCAAAUGUUAAUCAGUGCCAGUGCAGUUAAAUAAUGCAGUUUGUGCAGAUGGCAGCUACUACAUCUCCUCACAGAUGUGUCCUCAAGUCCCGGAGGCUGCUGUAUCACAGGAGUUGUCGGGAGCAGUCAGAUCUGAUGCUGACUGUCAAUAUCACCUUUUGUGUUUGUGUGCAUCCUCCAGCCAGCUGAGAGGCAACGAUAGGAUGACUCCAGGCCCUACUUCCAGCAGCCCUUCCAGAGCUGGAGCAGGGGGUCUGUGCAGGGCUCACAGGAGAGCAGAAAUAUUUCACUAAAUCGCCAAGAACACUCAGAGUAAAGCUCUGCAGUCUGCUCCAUGAAACUGUACCCAGCUGCAUCCUGCAAGAGGCUUCCCAGCCAGGUGGAGUGGGGAUGGCGUUCCCACCUUCACUCUUCACUGCUUUCUGCUUGCUGAUGGGCAAGAAUUCCACAAGUAUUCUUCCUGGCUUCCAUAAGCACAGGGACACCUCACUGUAUCAGAAGUUGGAGUUCUGACAGCACCUACUGUGCACAGGGCCUGAUUCUGAAUGGCAAAGUGCUGUUCCCGAAGCCCAGGCACUUGGCUCUCUGGUCCAGGUGUCCCUACCCUCCAGCCCCUGAACAGAUACUCUGCGUAAAAUUUAGGAACAAAUCGCCACUCAUGCUGCCAGCAGUAAGCAGCAACUGUUGUGGCAAGAAAAGACCAAACUGUUUCAACUGUCCCAGCUCUUCUCUCUCUCUGUGUACUUCCUUACUAGCAGCUGUGGGGGACCCUUCCAUGAAGGGGCACCUAGAGCACUGACAUCCACAUGUGGGCACCUGGGGGCAUUCCAUCUCAGCCACUGUCAGGAGCAGGCACAGUGACUGGUCCCCAUGAAGGUGGCCUGUUAUCAAGAGAAGAUGAAAUAAAGCUCGAGGUAACCAAGUGUGGGAAACUUGUAUGGAAGCAGGGGAGAUUGCUCUUGAUAUAGUUAAGUGUUUUACUUAAAGGUGUAAGCCUCAGCUUUCUGAAAAAUAUGCUACUGUAGAACAACUCAUUUCUGAAUAGCAUCAAAUAUGUGAGGUGAAAAUGUACUUAUGAGAAAAAUAGUUAAAAGUUUAUUCAUCCUAUUUCCUUUCUAGGUUGUCAGACUAUGUGCUAUUCUUCAUUCCUAGAUGGGAAACAUUGCAUCUUAUGAAUGUAACGUGUUGCUGUAGACAAAUAUUCUUGUGGAGUGAAGCCCAGGGACAAGGGUCUUUUGCUUUCCUUGCAAAAUGUAGAGACAUUAUUCCUGUUUCACCUUUGAAGGCCAUGCCAUCUGAUAGGCCAUGCCAUCUGAUAUGGUUUGGCUCUCACCUUGAAUCGCACCUUGAAUUGUAAUAAUCCCCAUACGUUGUGGGAGGGACCUGGUGGGAGGUAAUUGAAUCACAGGGGUGGGUCUUUCCUGUGCUGUUCUCGUGAUAGUGAAUAAGUCUCACGAGAUCUGAUGGUUUUAUAGAAGGGAGUCUCCCUGCACAUGCUCCCUCUUUGCCUGCCGCCAUGUAAGAUGUGCCUUUGCUCUUCCCUCAUCUUCUACCAUGAUUGUGAGGCCUCCCCAGCCAUGUGGAACUGUGAGUCCGUUAAAUCUCUUUUUCUUUAUAAAUUACCCAAUCUUGAGUGUAUCUUUAUUAGCAGCGUGAGAACAGACUAACACACCAUCUGAUCUGAUGGCUUCUACCCUUCCUUUCUUUCUUUUUUUUUUUUUCUGAGGCGGAGUCUUGCUCUGUCACCCAGGCUGGAGUGCAGUGGUGUGACCUCAGCUCACUGCAACUUCUGCCUCCCGGGUUCAAGCAAUUCUCCUGUCUCAGCCUCCCAAGUAGCUGGGACUACAGGCACACACCACCACACCCAGCUAAUUUUUGUAUUUUUAGUAGAUAUGGGGUUUCACCAUAUGGUCAGCCUGGUGUCAAACUCCUGACCUCAAGUGAUCCACCUGCCUUGGCCUUUCAAAGUGCUGGGAUUACAGGUGUGAGCCACCACUCCCAGCCAGCUUCUACUCUUUCUUUACUUCCCAGUCUCAACAUCAUUUGUGGAAGAUUUUAGCACCGACUCACUCCUUUCCUUCCAUUAAACUCAGCAAUGACAUGAGCAGCUCAUCUGAGCCCCAGGCCUCUGGAUUCCUAACCUCCUUACCUCCAGUGGUCUUUCCUUUAUCCACCUCUGCCCCCCAUUCCCAUUGUUAUGCCCUACGUCUUGUCACUACCUAUAAUGAUGUCAGUUUCAAAAUUGUGAUUUCCAAACCAUUAGCUGCAAAGAGUUCAAGGAACUGAGAGGCCAGGAUGCUCAAAACCCACCACUGGCUUCACACCACACUUAGAACAAAGGUCUUUCCCCUGCUGUGAGCCUGCCUACUGCUCUGACUUCGUCUCCCACUACUCUGCUCCAGUCACGCUGGCCUUUGGUCUGGCCUUCCAACAAGCUGAGCUAAUUUGCACCACAGAGAUUGGUUCCAUUGCCUGAAUGCUCUAUCCCGUUAUAUAGAUGGUCGCUUGGCUUGUUCUCUCACUUCAUUCAAAUGUCAUCUCCUUGGAGAGACUUCCCUGACUACCCUAUUAAAACAACAACAGUACAUCCCCCACCCCAAAUCACUCUAUCUACUUAUCCAGCUUUGCUCUUCUUCACAGCACUGAGCCAACAUUUAGACAGACACACCCACACAUCCAUAUACAUCUAUAUUCACUUACUUACUGCCUGUCUGCUCCAUUGAAGUGUUGGUGCCACAAGGACAGGGGUUUUGUCUGUCAUAUUCGCUGCUAUAUCUGAUGUGCCUCCAAUGGUCUUCCAUUGGAAAAUCAAUUGAAUGAAUGAAGGAAUAUGUUUGGGCUGGAAGCAAAUGUUGGAAAUGGAGUUUUAAAACAACAGGGUUAUUUUUUAAGCUUUCUAAUAAACUUUCUAUCAAAAGCAUUUUUCAAUUAUUAACACUUCAUAAAUGAACAAAUUUCAUCUUCUCAAAGUUACACUUAGGUGCCAACUAGAGAAAGCAGAAGAAUUCAUUUUCUUAAUAUUUUGUGAAAUCCAGGAUAGAUUAUUAUUUCAAGCUAUAAGGCUUCCAGCAUUAGCCUUGAAACCUCAUCUUUAUUUUGCUUCACUGCUAGGUGUCUCCUUUUUUGUUUUUCCUAGAACUUUUGUUUGACUUCUAAUUUUGUCCUCUGAUUGAGGACUGAAACAACGUGUAAUAAUCUCACACCAGGCAAAUAUAGUUGAAAUUUUUAGUGGAUUUGAUUACAUUCUUGAAAGUGGCAAAAUCAAGUAAAAGCAGAUAGAUCAGAAGAUUGAAAGCUUUGGCUUACAAUCAUUCUUUUUACUUUUUAGGAUGUAAAUCAUCGUAUUGGUCCUUUUUACUUUAGACAAAUAUGACCCCAUAAAGUUUUAAAAGUUUGUGUCUGUGAAAAAAAGCAAGAUGAAUUGUCUCUCACUUCCCUGGUUUGGAAGAGAAGUUCCAAAGCAGGGCUGAACUGUCAUCAUCAUCUAAUAAUUUUCCUUUAGUUUUCAUUUUUCCUUUCUAAAUCUUAGCAUGUGAGAUCACAGGCUCCCUCUCCAAACUCAUCAGUUGUCUCUUGUUUUACCAGUAAGAACUGAACCCCUCAUCUCAACCAGUCUGUCACCAAGGCACUUGCUCCAAAGACUCUGUACCAGUCGAGAUGCUUUUAGCUGCAAGUAAUAGAAUGCCUCAUCCAAAGUAGCCAUAGGGUAGCCAUAGGGCCAAGCACAGGGACUCACACUUGUAAUCCCAGCACUUUGGGAGGCUGUGGUGGGAUUGCUUGAGGCCAAGAGCUUGAGGCCAGUCUGGGCAGCAUAGCAAGAUCCUGUCUCUACAAAAAUUUUUUUUAAUUAGCCUGGCAUAGUGGCACGCACCUGUAGUCCCAGCUACUCAGGAAGCUGAGGUGGAAGGAUUGCUUGAGCCCAGGAGUUUGAGGCUGCAGUGAACUAUAAUCCACUGCAUUCCAGCCUGAGCAACAGUGAUGAGAUAGUCAGAGGUAACCAGAUGUGUAUUAGGCUGACUCCUAGGAAGCUUUACGUUAGGUUGAUAAGAUGGCUACAAGCAUGGUAUCUCCACACCAUAUACCCAAGGAGGGAAGGAAAAGGGCAGACCUACUCCUUAAUUGUGUCUUUCUUUUUAGCAGGAAGGAAAAUCCUUUCCGGGGGUCCUGCAGCAGAUUGCCCCUUACAGAUAAUAGCCAGAACUAGGUCACGUGUUGAUAAGGUUUAGAUACUUGUUCCCUUCAAAUCUUUUGUUGACAUUGCAUCUCCAGUGUUCGAGGUGGGCGCUGGGAGGUGUUUGGGUCACGGGGUGGAUCCCUCAUGAACGGCUUGGUGUCCUCCCUGUGGUAAUGAAUGAGUUCUCACUCUACUAGUUCACACAAAAGCUGCUUGUUUAAAAAAGCCUGGCACUUCUUCCCCUCUCACCACGUGCCCUGUUGACUACCCUUGCCUUCUGCCUCGAGUAAAACUCCCUGAAGCCCUCACCAGAAGCAGAUGCUGGCACCAUAAUUCUUGUACAAGCUGCAGAGCCAUGAGCCAAAUAAACCUCUUCUCUAUAAAUUAUCCACCCUCAGGUAUUCCUUUAUAGCAGCACAAAAUGGACAAAUACACAUGGGUGCCACAAACCAGUCACUAGCAAAUAUAGAUUAGACCACUUGGUUAUCUCCUGGCCUGGACACAUGUCACUUUCCUACCUGAACAAAGUUGAUGUUUUCUAAUAACAGAGAAUGAAGGAUGACAAGCUGCCAGGGUCGACAACUAACAAUGUCUGCUACAGCAGUACAACCCGUUACUCCUACUGAAAAAACUCACUCCAGGUGGAAUAGUAGCUUAUGUCAGGGUCUGUAUUGAUAGGCCAGUAGAUUAUAAAGUAUUUGGAAGUGAUCUUAGAAUCUCUGCUCAUUUAUGUCACCACUGUUUCAUUUACAUACCUCUAGGAUAGCACUUACCACGUGGCAUCAUGAUUCCAUGUCCACAGGUCUGACUGUUCCUACCAGAUUGUCACCAGGAACCCCUUAUUUCUUUGUGUCCAGAGUACCCAGGAUAAUACUUGGAACUUAAUAGAGGUAGAGGCUCAGUCGGUGUUUGCUGAACAAAUGAAUGAAUAAACUAACAACAAAUAAUGAAUAACAUAUUCCUGAAGCCAUGCGUUAUGAAGAACAGUUGGAAUAACUAUAGGUGUUUACCUGGGGAAUGAAUGAAUGAAUGGACAAAUGAAUAAGCAAAUGACAACUAAGAGAUUUUUGGAGCGGUGUCCAAUGAACUGUUGAAAUGACGAGAAAUGUUGACAUGGAGAAGAGAUUUGAGGAAUACAGUGACUUUUUGCAACGCAGGAUUUAAAAGCCUUUUAAGUGAAAGAGAGAUGAGACUUACUUUGUGGGAUCUUUAAGGGUAGAGCUAGGAAAAGUGGGCUGAAACUACAAGGAGACAGAAUUGUAAAACUAAAAUCUAAAAGUGGAGCUAUGUAAAGAUGGAAUAGACUGCCUCUGGAAAGAAUGAGCUCACUGUCACCAAGCAGAGAGUGGCUAGGCAUACUCUCAGGCAGUGGUAGGAUUUUAUCAUUGAAGAUUGGACUUAGAUAAGAAUGAUACUUAUUCCCUGGUAUAACUGGGGGUCCUCCCUCGUAGUGAGGGUAUUCUCUGAAAGUAUGAAAAAUUAAACUUUUACCACUUAAUGUUAACAUGAAGGAGGUAUGUGGUAGCCCUUUCCAAAGUACCAAGAGACUUUAUGAUGCUAUGAGACAUCUUGGAGUAAUCCCAUCUGUCUUUAUUAUUCCCAAUUACAUGUGCCAUUUCCCUGUUGAGCUCAUUUCUGAUAGAAGAAAUGUUUUUUAAAAGAAAACGAUGUUAAUAGAUGUCACUGGUUUUGUCUGUCUUAACGGAUUCUGUUUCUCACUUCAGGACAUUAUCCAGUUUAUACUUUAUUAAAAUUGGCCUCAUGCACCCUUGAGGUGAGUGGGUAGAGAAUGAGGAGAAGAGCCUCACUUCCCGGAGAUGGCGGAGAGGGAUUGGGCCCACCAGGUAUUCUUUCAAAUGGGCUGCCUUACUGCCCACCUGCAGGACUGAAAAUCAGAGAAAAGCGGUGGAAAUUGAGAAACUGUAGGACAUCAUUCACUCUCGUAAUUACAGUGAGGAAGUGUGCUGCAUAUGUAUGUUCCCUCAGUAAAACAGGUGUUCUGCCCUUAAAAUGCUAAUUAUAGACUAUUGCAGAUCAAUGAUCUUCACUUAUUUCAUAUUGCUGCUCCAUUUUUUCCACAUUUAACUACCCUGUGAUAUAGAAAGCUUGCUCACCCUUGAAAAAAUCAAAAUGCAUAUGGAUUUUCUGAAAUAAGCCCCUUUUCUGGAAGUAUUUUGUGGUUAGUUUCAAAAUGCAAUAUCCUGAGAAAGGUUUAAGUCGGCUUUUUAUUUUAAUAUAUAAUAAAAAAGUAAAAUCACUAGGCAAUGAGCAAUUUUACUUCCAUUAGCCUAAUGUCUUUGUGGUUUCAUCUGAGGUCACUAGUAGAUUAUUUUUCUUGCAUUAUUUCAUCAGCUGUCAGUUCUAUUACAAUCAUGUAAUUCAUUCAGUGCUGUGAUUUUUCAAAGACAUAACUGUAAGCUUAGAAGACAGUUUUUUGGAAGUUUAUUUAGAUGAUUGUAGGGUGUCAGACUGCCUCAAUCUUCUCCAUGCUCAGUGUCUGAAGGGUCACCAACAGAUUGUACAUGACCUUAGAUGCUCGAGUAAUUAUCACCACUAUGUUUUUAUACCCAGCACAUAAAAAUAUAUCUGCACUUUCUUUAUCAUCAUCUUUUGAAAGACUGUGGCCUGCCUAUGGGCUGGGCAAUUAGGUUUACUACUUAGAUUACAGGAUACAUGAUACAGCUCUUAUUUAACACCAACAAUAACUCUUUUUAAGGUGGUUUCAUUUCAAGCUUAGUCUAUUAAUAUAUUCACCAUUGGGCUUUGAUUACAAUAAUGCAGUUUAUUUAUGUUUGCAUAUAGUGGGUAUCAGUCAAGAAAUCAUUUGAAAAUCAUUCACUGAACACCAGCUACUCACAGCUUGUUAGUUUCUGGUGGUUAUAAAGGAAUUAGAAAUUCUCUGCUCUUGAACAUAUUAUUGUGAUCCAUCAAAGCCUCUAGCAAAGUAGUCAUUUAGUUUGGUUUUUGUGAGGUUUUUUUAGUACGAGGAUAAUUUUUAAAUAUUAAAAAAAUUAGGCCAGGCACGGUAGCUCACGCCUGUAAUCCCAGCACUUUGGGAGGCCGAGGCGGAUGGAUCACAAGGUCAGGAGUUCAAGACCAGCCUGGUCAAUAUGGUGAAACCCUGUCUCUACUAAAAAUACAAAAAUUAGCCGGGGGUGGUGGUGCUCGCCUGUAGUCCCAGCUACUCAGGAGGCUGAGGCAGAAGAAUCGCUUGAACCCGGGAGGGAGAGGUUGCAGUGAGCCGAGGUCGUGCCAGUGUACUCCAGCCUGGGCGAUAGAGUGAGACUCUGUCUCAAAAAAUAAAUAAAUAAAUAAAAAUUAGAACUCUACAUAGUAAUAGUUUACCUUUAUUAUCUUGUAAUUUUAAAAGUACAAAAUGCACAUUUAAGAUACAUGUGCAUAAAAUGAUAUGUCUGGGAUUUGUUUUAAAAUUAUCUGGAAAGGUGGGAGUAGUGGGAAUGGGUAGAUGAAAUAAGACUGGCCAUGAGUUGAUAAUUGUUGAAGCUGAGUGCUGGUAGGUAGCAGUUUAUUAUACAGUUCUCUCUACUUUUAUGGAAAUUGUUCAUUUAAAAAAAGGAAUAGAAGGUUACUAUGCACAGGGAGCAGUGGCUCAGGCCUGUAAUUUCAUACUUUGGGAGGCCAAGGUGAGAGGAUUGCUUGAGCCUAGGAAUUCAAGACCAGCCUGGGCAACAUAGGGAAACCCUGUCUCUACAAAAAAAUACAAAAAUUAGCCCAGUGUGGCAGUGCAUGCCUGUACUCCCAGCUGCUCAGGAAGCUAAGGCAGCAGGAUUGCCUGAGCACAGGAGGUUGAGGCUGCAGUGAGCCAGGGUUGUACCACUGUACUCCAUCCUGGGUGAUAGAGCGAGACACUGUCAAUCCAUCAAACAAUCAAUAACUAUGAAUUCAGCUUUGCUUUUAAAAAGAAAAUAUAUUUUAAUGAUCAUUGAAGCAUUUCCAUAUACUUGAAAAAUAUUAAUAAUUGUAUGAGAAUAGCAUAUAAUUUCCUGAGACUAUAGACAGAGCUUUGUGCUCAUGGACUCUGAACCCUUUGUUGUAACUAUUAGAAUACAAUAGACAAGCAAGUUCAAGGUAGCUUGAUACAUACUGUACACAAACACUGAGCACAUUCCAAGGGAUGUGAACCUUAACUACAGAAGCGUGUAUGGAGCUGCUUUAAUUUACUGUGACUGUGUUGCAUAGAAAAGGAAGACGACCGUGCUGCCACUUAAGUACUGAUAACAUUUAACACUGUGUGCAUAAGAUUGAGGCAGCUUGGAAGGUCCAGAAUAUGAAGCAAAGAAUCCGAUCCAUUCAGAAACCAAGAAACCUCCAAAUAAUAGCACUUUCACUCUAAUUCAGCCUCUGCCAAAUUUGCCUUUGGCCAAUUGUCACCAGUGCCAAAUUACCAACAGACUUCCUUUUCUGGUCUUAGUCAUGUUGACCUCUUCCUUCUGUCUCCUAGUCAAGCAGAAUUUAAAACAUUUACAUUGUAUUUCAAUUUCUAUGAAGAUGGGAGAGGAAAGGUGUAUUUCUUGUCUUUUGUCCCUGGCCAGCUUCUACUGGGAACUUAUUUCCUUGAAAUUCCUGUCCUGUAAAAGCAUGCAGAUGAAAGUAUCUUUAAUGUAUAAUUACAUUUUUAUAUGUGUAUAAUCUUAGAUUACAUGGGAAUUGAGUAUCUGGAAUGGAUCGGCCUUAGGAAAAUGUUUCUUUUUAAAAACUAUUAAAUAUUGGAACAUUAUACAAAAAAAUAGCAUUGAAAUAUUUAAUCUGUGGUUCAGGUCUGUUGUUCAUUUAAAGGUUUAACUGUUUCCCACUGUUUAAAUAUCUCUAUCUGAUCUUUCAUGCUAAGUUAGCAUGUCCAAAAUAUUGAAAAACAGAUGAAUGAUCAAGGAACUUAAGGAAUACUCCUCCAGUGAAGCCAGAAGGAUAUUCUUGAGGAGAAAAAAAGAAUGCAUGAAACUUAUUUAACAAGAAAGAUUUGAGUCAGGUAAUCUACAUAAUAUAUCCACUGGCAUUAAGGCUGUCAUCUUGGUAUUGCAUUUCUGGUACGAAUUUCGCAAUAGCUGUCUUUCACUGUCGGUUCUAAUAAAGAGUGUUGGUCAGCUUAAAUUCCCUGGGAGCUCAGAGUUAUGUUUUGUGAACUGCAUGUGCCUGAGGCCUCUCAUGCAUGAUUUAAACUGCUUUGUAAAUGUCAAUAGGUGGAAAAGCAUUGGAUCCCUUGUAGAUUUCUCCAAAUCCUCAAAGAUGUGUAUGCCAUGUAUAAACCAUGCUGCACUCUCAAGGCCAUUGCCGUUUUUUAUACUUGCCUAACUGGGGGUUUAAGGUAUUGCUAGAAGCAAAAUAUCAGUGUGUUCAUGUCUCGAUCCAACUGGCCAAUGAAACCCUUUAUUAGGAAAACCUUUGCACCAGAGAAAUGUCUCCAGUGACCUGAAAUGGGCACACCUCAUGAAUGUUGAAUGUUCUUCAAACUCUAUUUCUUCAUUCUUGACUUUUUUCAAAACAUACAUUUGACUUGAUUGAAUUUACUGAUUUCAGAGUACUGCAUCCAUUCCAUGGACAGCAGUAUGGGGUCAUCAAAAAAAAUUUCCAUUGAGAGUGCCCAGACCUGGGUCCUAUCCUGGUUCUGCCACUCUCUGGCUCUUUGUCCUUGGGCAAGCCACUUAACCUUUUGGGGGCCCUGCUUUUCUGAUCCAUUAAAUAAAGGAGGUUGAAUUAAAUGAUCUCUAGUUAUCCCUCACAGCUCCAGCAUCAGUGAUUCCAAGAGAUAGUGACAGAAAACCAGUGUGUCACUUUUAAAGCCAGGGAACACAUGUGACUUUUUAAUUGGGCUCAUUCCACUCUCUGGGCAGUACACAGUGCCGGCAGAAGCCCCAAAAUGGCCAGCAGCAAUGGCGUAGGGAGGCCUGAGUGUUAGCUUGAGGGUUCAUCAACUCAUUUUCGUUCAAAGCACUUCCUGGUGAUUGUUUUCCAUGGACCUGGGAACUGCACUAAGGGCGCUCCUCCCACAGUGUGCCCUGACCCCCCAGGUGUGUUCUUUAGGUAAAGCUGUUUUUUAAUGUCUGAAGAGGCCAAAGCAAAUGCCAGUGAGGGUAUAGCUCUCUAGGAUCUCCAGAAUAGAGGCACCAUAUGAGCAACAACACUAGACUGGGUUUCUCAGAGUCUGUUUCUCACACACUUUAGUACCUCUCAGCUUAACAUGGUACCUGGAGAUAGAGGUGCUUAGGAAAUGUAUGCUUAGCAAAUGUUGCAGAAAGAGUUUAUUCGGAGUCAUAGAGCCAUCGGAGCAGAUGGUCUUUUUUGUUUUCUUCUUCAUGUUUUGACUCCUACAUAGUUCAGAAUAAGUCACUUUGGUCUUUUCUUUGCACAUGUUCACUUUCUAAUAUAGUGUCUUCUUGGGGAGACUGUUUUAUGGGGAAUAUGUGAGUUCAUGUGUUAGCUGUGGAGCCAGCCUGCCUGAAUUUGAAUCCUGACUUUUCCUCUAACUGUGUGACCUUGAGCAGUUUCCUUAACCAUUCUGUAUCUCAGGUUUUAAUCUGUAAAAUAAGGAUAACGGGAGUACCUAGCUCUUCAGAUUGUGAGGAUUGAAUGGGAUAUACACAUAAAGCUCUCAAUGCCUGGUGUGUUAAAGUGUUCGCAGUUGUUACUUUUUUAAAUGUUUUUACUACUUUUGAAAUUUAGUGUUCAAGGUGAACUUUUUACAGAAGAGCCAGGGCAAUUGGAUGCACUUUGGGGGAAAAAAAAAUCACUUGCCUCAUCCCCAUCUUCUCCAUCGCAGUGAGGACUGUUCUCAAGUGGGCACACAGGACACCUGUCUCCUUCAUCUGCAAGGCCCCAGUGGCUGUGCUGGGGUUUGAGGUCUCUCGUUCAGACCAGGUAUGUGAGGGCUUGGUUAUCAUGCACUGCUCCUGAAUCCACCAUCUCCAUGUCCACAUCCUUGGCAGGGAGACCAGAGCCAACUGGGAACUCUGCCACCUGGAGAGACCUUUGAAACACUGUCGCCACCAGUGUUCCAUUUGUGUGUUUGCAGAAUGCCAAGUAAGCACAUUCUUUUUCACCCUCUGACAUGACCUCAGGGUUACUUUCUGUGGCUGUUGACAAAUUUUUAGACAUCCCAGUUUUAUCAGCGGAAACCUUGAAGAGUGACAAAUGGUUCUUGGAAGAGUUGGUACAUACUAUAAAAAUGUCAGCUGGCUCAUUUAUAACCCAGUGAUGUCCAGUGUCUGAGCCGUGCUAUCAGCAUGGUCUAUAGAUAACUCACCCUCACGAUGCUCCGCUCUCCCCAAGUACUUUGUGCAGCUGUUCUGGUUGAAGACCCAGUUGACAUCUAUAAUAGAUAUCAAAUGGAGAGCCUCUUAUUUUAUCACUCUCUGUGUUUCAGCACUGGCGGUCCCCAUGGACUGUCAGAAACAGGCAGCCAGCACGUUAUGGGAAAGGUGACUUGCUGAGUCCCUGUGCCCUGAGGACAUUAUUAAGUGCUAGGGAACCUUGUUAGCUCAUAAAGUUGGUUCAAACCAAUUAUUGUUCUGCGACCAUUACCAUUGCCAAGAAUGUAACUCUUUUAAAUUCUUGCCCAUAAAGCCGAUCUUUCCAUUACAUUAUAUCAUAGAGCAAGACUUCUGAUCUGGCCGCACUUGUAUCCCACCGGCUGCAAAGACUAAACAUUGCAUUUGCUGCUCAAUAUUGGUUACCCUUCAGUGCUUCAUGGAGGCAGCAAGACUGCUAUUUAUAGAUUUACUUUCUGUCUCCCUAGUUCAGCACAGUCAGUUUUGACACACUGUCCCAGUAAUCUGAUCAGCCAUGCUGCUUUUAAAUGAAGGUCUAGGCCUUGGCCUCUGCAGAGAGGGUGACAGCUGUCAGAUACAGAUAGUAGGCUACAGAUCCUGGCUGCUAAAACCCUCUCAUUCAUUCCUGUUACAGAUCAUUGACCACAGCUUGAAGCCAUGCUUUACAGUUGGCCGAUUAGUUGGCAAGAGAUCUACAUACUGUAUUAGCAAGGUCAACCACUGAGAUAAAGGCAAAAACGUAAACCCCUGCACUAUUUUUAAACCAGUAGCCAUUUGUUAAAGCUGGUUAUUUUGGUACUUGUCUCCGUUCCCCUCUUUUUUUUUUCUCCCAAAACAAAACUCAAGAAACUUGUUAAAACUCUUCGGCAGCUAACGAAGAUGCCUCAGAUAAUGAGAUGGUUCAAACCUGAGAAGGAAAGAUGAGGUCUUUCUCAGAAACUCAUUUAGGAACCUCGGAUAGGAAGCCGUGUUAGCUGUGCUUAUACCUUGUUUUAAUCAGAACGUGUCUGGAAAUCUUAGUCCAGGGAGACCUGGAUGAAAGUGCAGCCAGUUUGAGUGCUCUGGCCAUGACAGUAGGUUAGGCAGGUCUGGCCUAGAAAGAGGUAAGUUAUGAUUCAUACAAGUUUAAAUCCUCGCUCACUCCUGAAUGAGGUGGUUGGGCUUGGUUGUCAGCUCAGAUGAUUGGACCCAUUUUGUAGGUGUUUCCUUCUCCAGAGUCCUUCCUUCCCCCAGCAUCUUGUCUGUAGGUAUUCUAAAGCCAGGCAUUAUUCAACACACUAUAUUGGACUUGUGUAAAGAGAACUUGCACCCUGGGAAACCUUGUGUUAAAGUGAUUAAUUGACUUCUUCAUAUUCAGUGAAGAUCCUUGCUGUUUCAGAAUCGACACAAACGACCAAACCUUCAAUCUCAUCUUUACUCAGAAAGGGGUCCACCUAUAAGAUUUUGAACUCUCCUUCACCAUCUGACCAGCCUCCUCUCUGCUUUCACCUCUCCUAUGCCUUCACUCCCACUGAACGUUCCUUUAACUUCAUGACAGCCACCUUCCCCUUUACCCUUCUCUGUGUCCUGCUAAGACUAUGUGGACCCAGCUGGGGUUCCCAUUCUUUUUCCAGGUUAUACUCUCUAUGGUCUCUAUUUUGUGUCCUCCUCCCUCUCUUCUGUGACCUUACUGCAUCUUCCUGUUGCAUUCCCAUCUCCCAUCUGAUCUCUUGUCUUUCACUCUCUACCUCUUGUUGACUUAUGACCAAGCACAGUUUCCUUAGUGUACAGGGGCACCCAAGGCCCUUGACAAUAUGUCUGUCCACCAUCUUGUAGUCUUGCCUCCUGCUUUGUUUCUUCUCCACCUCUCUAAGGCCCCAUGCACACAUUUGCUGAACACACCCUGCCCUGUCAAGCUUCUUUGGCUGCCUUUGCUAUUCCUCCACCACGUAGGUCCUUUAGAAUGGCAAGCCUUACAAUGUAUAGUAUAUUUAGUAUACAUACCCAGUAAAUAUUUGUAGGACGAGUGCAUGAAUAAAAGCACAAUGUUUGACAUUGUUAUCAGCAUUGACCCAAACCCUUUGAGCUAGAUGAGCAAUAAAGAUUAGAAGAAAGAGGUUAGGUAUAACCACAAACAAACUUGAGAUUGAAGGCUCGCUAGAAGUAGAACUUUGGGUGGAUUUCUCUCUGUGACUUGAUUUUCUUGCCUAUAAAGUGAGGUAAGUGAUAUCUGCUUUAUAGGUUGUUGGGAGGAUCAAAGAAGAAAAAAGGGAAGUAAAGUGCCUAACACAGUGUCUGGCAAAUGGAAGGAACUUGAUAGAUGUUAAUUACCUAGCUGUGCCAUAUAACUCCCACCCCAUCUUCAGUGUUCUGUGAAAUGUAUUUUCAUUUUACCCUUGGAAAGGUACAGGACAGGAUGGAAGACCAGUUUGAUGGGAGAGAAGGCUGGGAGUUACAUAAACCCCCAUGGUUUUCUGACUUUUCACUAGAGUCAAUAAGGAGAUGUUUAAACAGACUUUGGCCCACAAAAGGUGACUCACUCUCACAUUCUCAGCUUCCUGCUCAGGGAAUCAGUGUGGAAACUGGGCUUCCACUUCUCAGCUUCAAACUGGAGCUGGGAAACUUUCGCCUCUGUGGAGGAGCCUUGGGGAAAUCUCAGCCCAGCUGCCAUGAGGUGUGCAAGGGGAGGACGUGUCAGCCCUGGAAACUCCACAGGCCUCUGUUCCAGAUGCACAGGGCAGUCACGUCUUUGCAGGGGUGAAGCAGGAGGACACCCUCCCUCCUGUUCUGUUCUAGCAGCCAUCAUGAGAAUGCUUCACUGGUCCCCGGAGGUGGCCACAGACGCAGUGGAUUUAAUGAGCUGGGAACGUCAAUGCUGCCAAAGUUUACCUCGACCUGUCUUUCUGAAGAACUCCUCUAUUUAGGCCCACUCAAGCAAAGGAGAAAGGCACCACGCUGUUUUCUCCCUUUCAACUCCAAAGAAGGGGAUAAUGCACUUUUUGUGCCAUGCAUCCAGAGGAAUUAUGUGUGCUAAUUUGAUUAGGGGAGAUUUGAUUAACUGGAAAAUGAGGGCUUUGCUAAGACUUUCACACGCUUAAUUUAUCCCUUGCAAAGCAGACGCAACAUUGUGUCAUGAAACUCAGAAGGCAUAUGGGAACAGUAUUCAGUGGUUAGACGGCCUUUCAGACCCAACAAUAUCAAGGAUUGCCACGGUUCAUAUUGGGAUAAUCAUUUUAGAGCAUUCGCUUUGCUGCAGAAUACAAAUUGGGUUUGGCAUUGCCAGUUAAACGGUUCAAAGGAUAAUGAGAUUAAUAUAGUAGGAAACUUAGCUGAGCAAAAAGCUUUUUUUUUUUUUUAACACCAUUGCAUAACUAGUUUUAAGGGGAACUUAGUUGAAAAAUGCUUGGUUUUCUCCAAAGAAUGCAUUAAUUAUGUUUUGUGGUUCCAUACACUCCUGGUCUUUCUUGCUAAAUAAACAUAUCGUGCAUCA